AACUUUCAACAACGGAUCUCUUGGUUCUGGCAUCGAUGAAGAACGCAGCGAAAUGCGAUAAGUAAUGUGAAUUGCAGAAUUCCGUGAAUCAUCGAAUCUUUGAACGCAUAUUGCGCCCUCUGGUAUUCCGGGGGGCAUGCCUGUCCGAGCGUCAUUAGCAACCUCUCAAGCGCGGCUUGUGUGUUGGACGGGCGUACCGACGAGGCACCCUUCGGGGUCCUCGUGGGUACGCGUCCGAAAUGCAGUGGCGGCGUCGCGUCCCGACCUCGCAAGCGUAUGGGGCUCUGUCACACGCUGGGCGAUCGGGCGUACCUACGCCUGCCUCAUCAGACACCUUUCUCAGGUUGACCUCGGAUCAGGUAGGGAUACCCGCUGAACUUAAGCAUAUCAAUAAGCGGAGGAAAAGAAACCAACAGGGAUUGCCUCAGUAACGGCGAGUGAAGCGGCA
RNAcentral lists this unclassified non-coding RNA (448 nucleotides) under uncultured Onygenales. RNAcentral describes it as "sequence contains 5.8S rRNA gene, ITS2, 28S rRNA gene". The stretch from base 1 to 154 matches the Rfam family "5.8S ribosomal RNA". Lineage: Eukaryota; Fungi; Ascomycota; Eurotiomycetes; Onygenales. The record is from RNAcentral.